This 2207-nucleotide ribosomal RNA is filed under the name Triticum aestivum (bread wheat). RNAcentral describes it as "partial small subunit ribosomal RNA". The record is from RNAcentral. Lineage: Eukaryota; Viridiplantae; Streptophyta; Magnoliopsida; Poales; Poaceae.
GUGUAGGCAUGGAGCUACCCUCAGCUGAUGAUCAGCUAGUGCUCAGUCACCGCCCGAUCCAUCGGUCUACCUGUACGAUGAGGAAGAUGUCCACGGUUGCGGGCGCUGCUUUGUUGCUAGCCGCCGCGGUCGUCUGCUCCUCGGCGGACAGCGAGAGAGUCCCCGCGGUGUACGUGUUCGGCGACUCCCUCGUGGACGUCGGCAACAACGACUUCCUGCCGCCGCCGGCGCCCAGGGCGGGUUUCCCCUGCGGCGUCGACCUGCCGCGCGCGAUCCCCGGCGGACGGACCGGGAGGUUCACCAACGGCUACAACCUGGCCGACAUCAUCGCACAACGGGUGGGGUUUGACAUGAGCCCGUUAGCUUACCUCUCCUUGACGCCGCAAGCGAGCCUCGACCUCCUGAGCGGCCGCGUUGGGGCCAAUUAUGCUUCUGGUGGAUCAGGAAUCCUUGACGAUACUGUAUGUGUGUACAAAUGUACAUAAUUUAGAACCUGCACUUACUUCGCUCGAGUCACCAUCCACACACAGUAUGAUUUUGCCCAAUCAACACCUCUUAUUUCUGCACAUAUCUUAGUUCGUUAUGUUUAUCAGCAGUGCAAAUUAGACCCUGAAGUCUGAAGAGGGUGACUACUUGUUGUGAAUUAAGCUUGAUUGACUUUUACUAUCUUGGUUCAAGAUAGAUGAUGUGCUAUAAAGCAUGCAGUAAAGCUUCUCUAACUUUGACAUUCAAAUGUAAAAAUAUUAUUGUGACUUGUCAAAUGGAAACAAUAUCAUCAGGAUUUUCAUAAAAAUAUGUUAUAAUUCUCAAAUUUUAAUUUUAUUUCUGACAUAUUGGUAUGAACCAAAUUAACUGCAUUUUGGAGAAUGUGUCCAUGUUUUCAGUUGCAUGUGGCCUCUGCCUUACAAAAUGUAGGGGAACGGCACGAUCACGCUCCGAGAACAGAUUAAGAUGUUUGCGGACACCAAGGCGACCAUGAUCGAGGCCAACAAGCUGGGAAAUAAUAGGGUCAAUCGCUUGUUGUCCCAGUCCCUAUUCCUCAUCAGCACUGCAGGCAACGACUUCUUGGCGUUUGGCGACGGUAGGGCAACCAGAAGUGAUGCAUCAGCCUACAUCGCCAAAAUGGUCACCACCUACCUCAAGCACAUCAAGGUAGGUUCAUGUGAGCAACAGGAGGUUAAAAAUCUUGUCUCGUAUUACGGGAGAUCUCAGUGACAUUUGAGUUCAGAUAAACCUUAUCAGUAUAUCCAUCUCAAUGUCAAGGAUGUUAUCUUGACUUGACUGUUUUCAUAACAUUUUGCCAGAAUACCAAAAGAACCACACAUGUUUAAAUGAAAUCUCUUUGACCCUCAUAAUUUCGAACGCACGGAUGCACACGCACGAUAUGUGAGCAGGAGUUGUACAGGCUGGGGGCACGGAGGCUAGGACUGCUGGACGCGCUACCCAUCGGAUGCUUGCCGGGCUGCAGAACUUCCUUUGGACACGAUGGCGCGUGUGACGCCGUUGCCAACUCUCUGGCACGGCGGUUCAACGCCCUACUCCGGCUUGAAAUGGCCAGCGCCACGGCAGCUUCGAUGCCAUGCAUGGAGUACUCCAUCGCCAGCAUCUACGGCAUCUUCUCCGACAUGAUCACCAACCUGGAGCUGGACAACGGACUGCAGGAGGCGACUAGCGCGUGCUGCGGAGGAGGGAGGCUCAACGCGGAGAUCGACUGCUCGGCGAGCUCGAACCUUUGCACCGACCGCGACGGCUACGUGUUCUGGGACAAGGUCCACGGGACGCAGGCCGCCUACCAGCGAGCCGUUGCCGCCAUGUUCGACGGCGCGGGGGUGACAAAGUUCACGGAGCCCGUCAGCUUCGGGCAGUUGAUCACCGGGAAACAGCCAGCGCCGGUUGCCGUGUUAGAUAAACCGGAGCGUCCGUACGUGGGUCUGGAGGCUGAGAUCUAGCCAAGGGAAGGGAACUCGGAGGAUUCUUUUGCAGUGUUCGGUGCAGUACAUCAUCAACUCCUCUGUUGAGCCAUCGAUGUCAUUCCUGCCAUCGAAAUUAAGAUGGAACGCUACUCCCUUAUGUUCGUGCGUCCAAACUACCCCUUGCCUCAUGUUCCCUCCCUUAUGUCUCAUGCAUUAACUUAAUCAAAUCGUACUAAAACCUUAAUUAAAUAAAUCAAAACUUUUCUGGUCUUCCUUUACACAUAUUCAAAUCAA